RNAcentral lists this ribosomal RNA (487 nucleotides) under uncultured Enterobacterales bacterium. Its description in RNAcentral is "bacterial SSU rRNA". It matches the Rfam family "Bacterial small subunit ribosomal RNA", at positions 47 to 523 of the family's 1533-position model. The record is from RNAcentral. Lineage: Bacteria; Pseudomonadati; Pseudomonadota; Gammaproteobacteria; Enterobacterales.
CCUAACACAUGCAAGUCGAACGGUAGCACAGAGGAGCUUGCUCCUUGGGUGACGAGUGGCGGACGGGUGAGUAAUGUCUGGGAAACUGCCCGAUGGAGGGGGAUAACUACUGGAAACGGUAGCUAAUACCGCAUAACGUCGCAAGACCAAAGAGGGGGACCUUCGGGCCUCUUGCCAUCGGAUGUGCCCAGAUGGGAUUAGCUAGUAGGUGGGGUAACGGCUCACCUAGGCGACGAUCCCUAGCUGGUCUGAGAGGAUGACCAGCCACACUGGAACUGAGACACGGUCCAGACUCCUACGGGAGGCAGCAGUGGGGAAUAUUGCACAAUGGGCGCAAGCCUGAUGCAGCCAUGCCGCGUGUAUGAAGAAGGCCUUCGGGUUGUAAAGUACUUUCAGCGAGGAGGAAGGCGUUGUGGUUAAUAACCGCAACGAUUGACGUUACUCGCAGAAGAAGCACCGGCUAACUCCGUGCCAGCCGCCGCGGUAA